AGCAGCCGCGGUAAUUCCAGCUCCAAUAGCGUAUAUUAAAGUUGUUGCAGUUAAAAAGCUCGUAGUUGAAUUUCGGGGUUAGUAGGUUGGUCAUGCCUCUGGUAUGUACUGGUCUCACUGAUUCCUCCUUCCUGAUGAGCCGUAAUGCCAUUAAUUUGGUGUUGCGGGGAAUUUGGACUGUUACUUUGAAAAAAUUAGAGUGUUUAAAGCAAGCUAACGCUUGAAUACAUUAGCAUGGAAUAAUGAAAUAGGACGUUCGAUCCUAUUUUGUUGGUUUCUAGGAUUGACGUAAUGAUUAAUAGGGAUAGUUGGGGGCAUUAGUAUUCAAUUGUCAGAGGUGAAAUUCUUGGAUUUAUUGAAGACUAACUACUGCGAAAGCAUUUGCCAAGGAUGUUUUCAUUAAUCAAGAACGAAAGUUAGGGGAUCGAAGACGAUCAGAUACCGUCGUAGUCUUAACCAUAAACUAUGCCGACUAGGGAUCGGAUGAUGUUUAUUUUUAAAUGACUCA
Molecule: ribosomal RNA, 508 nt
Filed under: uncultured Glomus
Lineage: Eukaryota; Fungi; Glomeromycota; Glomeromycetes; Glomerales; Glomeraceae
Description: SSU rRNA
Rfam family: Eukaryotic small subunit ribosomal RNA
Source: RNAcentral